Molecule: long non-coding RNA, 981 nt
Organism: Oncorhynchus masou masou (cherry salmon)
Lineage: Eukaryota; Metazoa; Chordata; Actinopteri; Salmoniformes; Salmonidae
Exons: 3
Source: RefSeq, a predicted model, not a curated record
ACUUACUGCUAUUGAAUACAGAUCGCCCCGUGAUGAAUUCGAUCGCGUAUUAACGUUUACUAAUACCUAAAGUUGGAUUACAGAAGUAGUUUGAAGUGUUUUGUCAAAGUUUAUAGGCAACUUUUUUAAUUUAAAAAAAUAACGUUGCGUUUAGAAAAAGUGUUUUUUCCUGUCUUCAUAAAUGGACAUUUUGGGUAUACAAGGACCGAUUUAAUCGAAAAAAAAGACCCCAUUGUGAUGUUUAUGGGACAUAUAGGAGUGCCAACAAAGAAGCUCGUCAAAGAAUACCGACUCCAACUAUGGAAGCAGCAGGAACUUUGAAUAUUUCUGACGGUCGACGAACAGGGUUACCUUCUACUUCAACACCAUAACCAGCUGGCACAACUGGGGACGGCUAUGGAGGAGGUUCUUUGCGGUUUGAAAUGUCUCAAACACACCCAGGAGGUGUUGCCUUCAACCAGCGGAGAAUACUCUACAACCAGUCGACCCAGCAAACCAGCACAACAGCCCAUUCAGCAACCUGCUCAGGGGGACAUGUCAGCUUAUGAGUACGCGUUCACCUUCCGGACAGUAGCAGCAUCCAGUGGAUGGAAUGAGCCGGCGCUUCGUACGCUAUUCAGAAGAGGUUUACUCAAAGAAGUCCAGAUGGAACUGGCCUGUUGAGACGACAACCUCACCCUGGACACACUUAUUGCGAUGGCCGUCUGGAUGACCAACUUCAGGAGAGCCGGUACUCAUCGCUUCUCUCCUUUCCUCAGUGAACACUCGGGAUCAGAGCCUGAACCCAUGGAGGUAGAUGUCCCACACCUCAGAGGACUUAACGAAAUCACCACAAAGUAUCGGUACAAUCUCCCAUUGGUGCCAUCAAAUACCUCCGCAGGGCCCAGUUCUUUCCAAAUUCAAAUCAGCGUCUCCGUUACAAUUACUAACAUAAAUUAUCACACAAUCAAUAUUAGUCACAAAAUAAUAACUUAGGUUCCU